Molecule: ribosomal RNA, 206 nt
Filed under: uncultured bacterium
Lineage: Bacteria
Description: partial 16S ribosomal RNA
Rfam family: Bacterial small subunit ribosomal RNA
Source: RNAcentral
CGCGUAGGCGGGCCAUCAAGUCAGGGGUGAAAUCCUCCAGCUCAACUGGAGAACAGCUUUUGAUACUGGUGGUCUGGAGGGGGGUAGGGGCAUGUGGAACUUCCGGUGGAGCGGUGAAAUGCGUAGAUAUCGGAAGGAACGCCGGUGGCGAAAGCGACGUGCUGGACCCUUUCUGACGCUGAGGCGCGAAAGCCAGGGAGCAAACG